GACGAACGCUGGCGGCGUGCUUAACACAUGCAAGUCGAACGGAAAGGCCCUGCUUGCCGGGUGCUCGAGUGGCGAACGGGUGAGUAACACGUGGGUGAUCUGCCCCUUACUUUGGGAUAAGCCUGGGAAACUGGGUCUAAUACUGGAUAGGGCCAUGCUGUAGGUGGUGUGGUGGAAAGAUUAGUUUCGGUAAGGGAUGAGCUCGCGGCCUAUCAGCUUGUUGGUGGGGUAAUGGCCUACCAAGGCGUCGACGGGUAGCCGGCCUGAGAGGGUGGACGGCCACAUUGGGACUGAGAUACGGCCCAGACUCCUACGGGAGGCAGCAGUGGGGAAUAUUGCACAAUGGGCGCAAGCCUGAUGCAGCGACGCCGCGUGGGGGAUGACGGCCUUCGGGUUGUAAACUCCUUUCAGCCAUGACGAAGCCCUUGUGGUGACGGUAGUGGUAGAAGAAGCACCGGCUAACUACGUG
This 469-nucleotide ribosomal RNA is filed under the name uncultured bacterium. Its description in RNAcentral is "partial 16S ribosomal RNA". It matches the Rfam family "Bacterial small subunit ribosomal RNA", at positions 28 to 507 of the family's 1533-position model. The record is from RNAcentral.